CCUACGGGAGGCAGCAGUGGGGAAUAUUGGGCAAUGGGCGCAAGCCUGACCCAGCAACGCCGCGUGAAGGAAGAAGGCUUUCUGGUUGUAAACUUCUUUUCUCAGGGACGAAGAAAGUGACGGUACCUGAGUAAUAAGCCACGGCUAACUACGUGCCAGCAGCCGCGGUAAUACGUAGGUGGCAAGCGUUAUCCGGAUUGAUUGGAUGUAAAGGGCGUGUAGGCGGGAGAGCAAGUCAGAUGUGAAAACUCAGGGCUCAACCCUGAGCCUGCAUUUGAAACUGUGUUUCUUGAGUGCUGGAGAGGCAAUCGGAAUUCCGGGUGUAGCGGUGAAAUGCGUAGAUAUACGGAGGAACACCAGUGGCGAAGGCGGAUUGCUGGACAGUAACUGACGCUGAGGCGCGAAAGCGUGGGGAGCAAACAGGAUUAGAUACCCGGGUAGUC
Molecule: ribosomal RNA, 443 nt
Filed under: uncultured bacterium
Lineage: Bacteria
Description: partial 16S ribosomal RNA
Rfam family: Bacterial small subunit ribosomal RNA
Source: RNAcentral